Molecule: small RNA, 65 nt
Filed under: Marmota monax (woodchuck)
Lineage: Eukaryota; Metazoa; Chordata; Mammalia; Rodentia; Sciuridae
Source: RNAcentral
CUCUCUCUCUCUCUCUCUCUCUCUCUUAAAGAGAGAGGAGGGGGAAGAGAGAGAGAGAGAGAGAG